CAGGAAGCCUAUCUGCUCAUUCUG
This 24-nucleotide non-coding RNA is filed under the name Arabidopsis thaliana (thale cress). Lineage: Eukaryota; Viridiplantae; Streptophyta; Magnoliopsida; Brassicales; Brassicaceae. The record is from RNAcentral.